Molecule: ribosomal RNA, 993 nt
Filed under: uncultured bacterium
Lineage: Bacteria
Description: bacterial SSU rRNA
Rfam family: Bacterial small subunit ribosomal RNA
Source: RNAcentral
GCCAGCAGCCGCGGUAAUACGGAGGGUGCAAGCGUUACUCGGAAUCACUGGGCGUAAAGGGUGCGUAGGCUGGCUUCUAAGUCAGAUGUGAAAUCCAAUGGCUUAACCAUUGAACUGCAUUUGAAACUGGGAGCCUAGAGUUCAGAAGGGGCAGAUGGAAUUAGUGGUGUAGGGGUAAAAUCCGUAGAUAUCACUAGGAAUAUCAAAAGCGAAGGCGAUCUGCUGGGAUGAUACUGACGCUGAGGCACGAAAGCGUGGGGAGCAAACAGGAUUAGAUACCCUGGUAGUCCACGCCCUAAACGAUGAAUGCUAGUCGUCGGGGAGCUCGUCUCUUCGGUGAUGCACUUAACAGAUUAAGCAUUCCGCCUGGGGAGUACGGUCGCAAGAUUAAAACUCAAAGGAAUAGACGGGGACCCGCACAAGUGGUGGAGCAUGUGGUUUAAUUCGAAGAUACACGAAGAACCUUACCUGGCCUUGACAUGGUAGGAACCCUUAAGAGAUUAGGGGGUGCUAGCUUGCUAGAACCUACACACAGGUGCUGCACGGCUGUCGUCAGCUCGUGUCGUGAGAUGUUGGGUUAAGUCCCGCAACGAGCGCAACCCUCGUCAUUAGUUGCUAACAGGUUAAGCUGAGCACUCUAAUGAGACUGCCUCCGUAAGGAGGAGGAAGGUGAGGACGACGUCAAGUCAUCAUGGCCCUUACGGCCAGGGCUACACACGUGCUACAAUGGGGCGUACAGAGGGCUGCAAUACCGCGAGGUGGAGCCAAUCCCUUAAAGCGUCUCUCAGUUCGGAUUGUUCUCUGCAACUCGAGAACAUGAAGCUGGAAUCACUAGUAAUCGUAGAUCAGCUAUGCUACGGUGAAUACGUUCCCGGGUCUUGUACUCACCGCCCGUCACACCAUGGGAGUUGAUUUCACCCGAAAUCGGGAUGCCAAACUGGCUACCGCUUACGGUGGAAUUAGCGACUGGGGUGAAGUCGUAACAAGGUAACC